Capra hircus (goat) is the source of this 6141-nucleotide long non-coding RNA. RefSeq lists it as uncharacterized. The record is from RefSeq and is a predicted model, not a curated record. Lineage: Eukaryota; Metazoa; Chordata; Mammalia; Artiodactyla; Bovidae. The transcript has 4 exons.
UAUAGUGAUUCCAUUCAAUAAGGAUCAACUGCAAUUUCUUUUUCAAAACAGUGAUGAUUGACAAGUUGCCCUGAUAGAUUUCAGGGGUCAAAUUUUAUUUCAUUUGCCCUCAAGCCCCCUUUUUACAUUUUUUGAAAACACAUCCAGUGAUUUUUCUGAAGAAAUUUUGUAUUCAACGUUUGGAAGGGGGAAUUUUAGUUUUCACAGAUGGUUCCUCUAAUGGUAAAGGAAAUCAUUAAUAGAAAAUCUCAUGUUCAGGUAACUGAAGAGACAUCUGCCCAGAGGGCUGAGUUACAAAAAGUUAUUUGGGCUUUUCAACAUUUAAGAGACCACACCUUCAAUCUUUUGACUGACUCCCGAUAUAUUGUAGGGUUGUUUCCUCAUAUUGAGAUUGCUAAUAUUCUGGAAAAUAAAACUACCAUCUUCUCCUUGUUAUCUGAUUUACAGAAAGAGAUUAAACACAGAGUUAAGAAAUAUUUUGUGGGACAUAUUAGAGCCCAUUCCGGCUUGCCCAGCCCUUUGCAUGAAGGAAAUGCUUUGGCAGAUGCAUUAACUAAAGUAAUUGCUUUAAACUUACAUGAAAAGCUUGACAAGGCCAAAAAUUCUCACAAAAUUCACCAUCAAAAUGCAGCUGGGUUAAGGUAUGAAUUUCAUAUCCCUAGGGAAACAGCUAGACAAAUAGUUAAGUUAUGUCCAAAUUGCCCACUAUUUAAUCCAUCUCCACCAUUAGGAGUAAAUCCCCAAGGCCUUAGGCCUAAUGCUCUCUGGCAAAUGGACGUAACUCAUAUCCCGGCCUUUGGAAAACUGUCCUUUGUACAUGUUAUGUGGAUACCUUUUCUCAUGUUACUAUAGCCUCUACUAGAUCAAGUGAAGCAGCAAAAGAUGUAAUUCAACACUUGUUUCAGUGCUUUUCCCAAAUAGGACACCCUGAACAGAUAAAAACAGAUAAUGCCCCAGCUUAUACUUCUGCUGCUUUUAAGAGAUUUGUCAACAAUUUUCCAUAGUACAUUCAACAGGAAUACCUUAUAAUCCCCAAGGCCAAGCCAUAGUGGAAAGGGCACACCAGACUUUAAAAAAUCAGAUAGCUAAAUUAAAACAGGGAGAAUUUACGUAUUCCUCUCCACAUCAUGUUUUACACCAUGCUUUGUUUGUAAUUAAUCAUUUAAAUGUGGACACACAGCGGCAGACUGCAAUAAUGAGACACUUGACUCCUGAAGGGGCUAUGAAUCGGCCCCUGGUUAAGUGGAAAGACCUCCUUACCGGAGAGUGGAAAGGGCCAAGAUGUGCCGUUAACUUGCGGGAGAGGGUAUGCUUGUGUUUUUCCACAGAAUUCCACUUCUCCUGUCUGGAUUCCUGACAGACUGAUUCGACAUGUCCAGUCCCAUGAGAUCUCCAAGAUCACAAAGACCCCUGAGGUCACUGAGAUCCCCGGAGUCCUGGAGUCCGGGACCGAGGGAAGAUGGGGAGAUCAAAAGCUCGUCGAAAAAGGACUUUCCAAGCUGUGCACUGCCCCCUCUGGACUCUGAUGAACAAGGACUGCAGGCCUGGUUACAGGCAUUUGCUACCAAACGGGUCCCUUGAGGUGUGGAGACUGACUGGACAGGACAGCAGAAGCUCACUUGGCAGCCAGCAUCUUAGUUCAGAGCUCCUGACACUACCUCCUCCCUGGUCAUAUCCAGCUCCUCUCCGUGCCCUGGUGCUCGGGAAAGGUAUGAGCCAGCAGCAUCACCAUCUGGGCACUGAAGCUUUCUGAGGUGAAACCUGGGACGCUGCUUUCCACAGCAUCUUUUCCUGUGGAACUUCGCAAGGCCAGUGUGUUGACUUCUGACCAGUCUCAUCCAAAACCACACCCUUUUGCACAUACAUAAGCACAUACUCUGAGGUAUUGGGCCUCCAGCUUACUCUAGGAGGACAGAGGGCAGUUAAGUUUGUUUGACAUAACUAGAAGGGGCUGAGCCUCUUCCCAGAAGAGCAAAGUCCAUUCAUGGUAACUACCAUCACCCACCAUUUCUAGAUAGCAUUUGCUUCUGGUUGCUGAGACACUGUUUCUUUCAGCAGAAGAAAAUGAGUGGGUUGGUGAUCCAAUACUUCUAUCUCCAAAGAAACAUGGGUAGGUGAUAUAAGUGCCCUGAGGUGAGAUUGCUGCUUGCUGUGGCCAUUUCAGAGCUACAUUUGCUCUGAAAGAUACCAGCAAAGGUACUGAUGUUUGUGUUUCCUUAGUGGUAUUCAUGCCUCCACAUCAGAGGGAGUGUUCUGGGUGGGGCCCAGGUAUUCUGAGUGAAGGUAAGAAUAGAAGUAGCUUCCUAAAAGUGUAUGGUGUUGUCCCAUUAGACUGUGGUCUGACCACAAGCAGCCAGCCAGUCUGAAUGGUGGCGGGAACAUAAAUAUCCAGAAGCUGCCUUCUCCCAUCAUAUAACUUGUGCUCUGAACUAUGUGCCCCAAGUACUCUUGACAGCAGCCCUUCCAAUCACAGAUAUGAUGCUGGCCCAUCAGACAGCAAAAGAUGUGCUGUGUCCAGAUGGGCACGAGGUGACUGGUGGAAGGCAGGAACAGCAGUGUCUUCUGGCAUGUGUUUCUUCUCAGUGGUGCAGGCUUCUCCUGGAGUAACAGAUUUGCUCUGACUGGGUGGGCCCAAGUAUUCAGAUCAGAUGCAAAAAGAGAAGAUGCUAAACGCUGGGAUGGUGUUGGCCCUUCCUGUUGCAAAACAUGUGCUCUGUCCAGGUGGGAACCAGGAGUUCUCACUGUAGGUAGGGACAUAAUGACCUCUAAGCAUAGGUGAGGUGCUCACCCUUUCAAUGGCUAUAGACUAUAGGCACAAAAAGAAGUGUCUCCAGCACAGUUAUGGUUCCAUAUCCUUAUCUGCAACAGAUGUACCCUGGUUGGGUGGGUCCCAGGCAAUCUGAACACAUGGAAGGACAGAAGUGUCUUCUGGCACAUGUUCCUUCUCAGUGAUGCUGUCUUAUCCUGUGGUAGCAGGUGGCUGGGCUGACUCUAGGCGUUCUUAUUAUAGGCAGGAAGGAAAGUGUCUCCCAAGACAGAUUUGCUCUCAGUAGUGCUGGCUUCUCCAAUUGUAACAGGAGUGUAGUAGGCUGACAGGAGCCUGGUGCUCAGGUCUAAGCCUUCUUCCCCCAAAUUAGCUGUGGUUCUAGGUGUCCCACUUGGCCUUGCUCCAAAGCUGAGUGUUUCAGACAUGAAACUGGGGCCUGGGACAUACACAAUGACCCCAAAGAUGCCACUACCCACAGGUGCCGAAAAUCCCUUAAAUGCAAAUGGGUCUCAAAGGAUGUUGGCAAAAAGUGAGCCGCAGUCCUCAGUACUGUGCAUUCUGGUGGCAGCUCCAGAGCAAGAAAGGGUGAAAUGAGGUGAAGUGCCACCAAAGGCUGGCUUGGUGCCCACAGGGAUGCCAGAGUUGGAACACAGGGUGUCAAACUCCCCAAAGCUGAGUUGUGCUACUUUGGGGUUCCAGGGAUGCAGUAGGUGCUUAGUGAGAGGAUUAACUGGGGGCAGCCAGGUUUCCCAAAGAGACAGAGCUCUUAAAGCUGUCAAGAGGAGGCAAGAAGGUAAUAGACUGGGAAUUGGUUAUAGUAUCCACAUCAAUUUCUUCAGAGUCAAAGACAGGCUUGGAUGCCAUGUCUGAAGAGGUGCUGGUUAUUGGAUUGAGGUGACUGCAGAAUCAGUGGUAGGUGGGCCAGAAAAGACAAGGGACACUGGGGAGAGUGGCCCCUUCUGCUGCCCGUAUAGAUCCCCAGCUAAAUGAUGGUUCCUGCCCCAAAGGGAACGUUGAAAGUUCAGGUAGGGAUGCAGACCAUAAAAGUAGGUGGGCAAGUGAUGGCUGGCCUUUGCAGGGCAUAUCUGCUCCAUACUGGGAUAGACCUGGUAAAGUGCCAGGGAGCUCACACAGGAUCCUGAAAAUGAAAACUUGGGAAGGCAGAGUGGUGUCCAUGUCAGUUACACCAAAGUCCAAAGGCCCCUGAGAGGUCUAGGCUGCAGAUGGGCUGACGGAUAGAGGAAGUGAUUGCAGAAGCAGUGAUGGGCUGGCUGACAAAGUCUGGGACGCUCAUGAAAUGGAUUUGAAGAGAAGUCUGUAAAGAGGGAGGAGAAUCCACCCACCUAGGUGAAGGUGAUUCAUUUCUAUAGAAAGUAAGCUUUGAGGAGAGAAGGGAGGUGCCAGGAGGUAUGGUGAGACCAGAAGUUCCUGUGGAACUAUGACUGAGGGACUGGGUUGCUGGUAGCAUCUAUUCAGUCUCGUUAGUACAUGGAACCCCAAGUAUGGGUUGGAAUCUGAAGUGAGAAACAGCAGCAACAGCAAAAGAAGGAGAGUUUGAAAUUGUGCAUCUUAUUUCAUGACUGAUAUCUGGUGUGGGGGAUAGGCGUGGGAGCAGACAGGUCAGUCAAAUCAGUGGUUACUAAUGGGGUAGUCUCUGGAAUCUGCCAGGGGAGAGUGGCCAGUGGCAAUGGAACUACAGUCCCUGGCAACGACCAGGGCAAAGGAAUAGGCAGGUUGAGUGGCACUGCUAUCAGCGGUGGCCUCAGUUUUAUCCUCUGACCUAUGGUUUUGUUGGUGCUGUGUUCUUCCCCAAGCUCAGGUCUUCAGCAGUGACCUUACUGGAAGGUAGGAUGCAGGGCCUCUCACUUGAUCCCACGACAGCGGUAGUAGCAGCAGCGGUGGCAGCAGUAGUGGCAUUGCUGUGUUCUGUUUACAGAGCCCACCAUUGACAGGUGAGGGUGGAGAAUUUUUCCUUGACUAUGUGAAAGCCCUCCUCUCUGAGUCUACUUUUGCUUCGGUAAGGCUGAAGAACUGAGUCAGUGGUCUUCAUCAAACUCUUUCUCAACCACUCCAACUGUAGGAAGCAGACUGUGGCUGGGUCAGACAGGCCGGCUGCACUUGCAUCACACUUGCAAAGAGGCCAGACGCCUCCAGUAGGGCUGUGUGAGCUGCUGAUGGUAGGGCCUUUGGGAAAUGAGCUCAUAAAGCCUCUGGUGAUAUCUUACCUAAGCUCUCUUCUUGAAAUAGAGGUUUCCCUUCAGAGGCUCAGGACUGCUCCCAAAUACGUGACAACUUGUCAGCAGGAGCCUAGGUCCUGGUGGUAUAAUUUCAUUGCUGUAAGGACCCCUUUUCUGAAAGUCCUGCAUUUUGGAAACUUUGUGACUCCUUCCUCCUUAGAUAUUCCCUUCUUUCACAUUCCCAGUGUCUUCAGCUCAGUCUUCUCUAAAUCAGGCUUUGGAGGGUGAUUGGAUAGCCCAGAAGGAGUGUAAGUUUGUGCCCCUGAGGGAGAAUAUUGACCAUUUCUCAGUGGCUAGACUCUUUGAGAUACAAGCGGACACCAGAGGCUUCUUCAGAGAGCUCUCUCCCACCCAAUUCAGGACCCUCAGAGAGGAGCACUCAGGCUGUCUCGUCUGAUACUGCCUCUUAAGUAACAUGGAGGGACAGAGGCACUGGAUCCACAUAGAACUGCCUAAGAAAAGGGCCAGGAGAGAGACAGGGCAGUGGGAUUCCCUCAGCCAGAAGGGAAACACAGGUGUAACCAGGGGUGGGGAAGGGGCUAGAGUGAAGCUUGCUGAGCAGGUUGCACACAAGGGGCAGUUCAUGCACUGUCUGAUCCCGAGAGCAUAGAGUUGCGACUUGGGAGAGUUCUCUUAGCGACCUGCUCCUCCAGCGUAAAGCAUGCACUGUUUGGCCUGAUGCUUGAGACACAGCAUUGGAGCAUGUGAGAGAGAAAGAGCACCAGCUGGGCACACACCAGCAAAUGGCAUAAGGAAAAAGUGCCAAAGGCAAAGGAUGAGGCCCAGAGGCCAAACCCCAGCAGGACCUUCUAGCACGUUCUGACUUUCUGCUGCUGGUUAUGAGUGUUUGGUUUGACAAGAUUGUUCAGUACUGUGACUUCCAAGAGCCUGCAUACCUGUCAUCCCUAGGUAUGUGUCCCCACGUCUGUGUGUACUUCAGUGCCUGACUCGAGGGCAGCAGAGGCUGCCUGUGCCUGAAGGUCCACCAGCCCUUUCUCUGUCAUCACUAGUGGGUAGAGUCUGCUCCAAGCCAGAGCAGGAGAGGAGCCUAGAUCCUGCCAGCGUGGGGGCCUUGUUUGUGGGAGGCUGGGGCAGAGAGGCCGAGGUUGGGGAGAUGGGGGUGGCGGCAGGGCGGGA